AGAGCGAACGCUGCGGCAGGCUUAACACAUGCAAGUCGAGCGGGCGUAGCAAUACGUCAGCGGCAGACGGGAGAGUAACACGUGGGAACGCGCCCUUCGGUUCGGAAUAACUCAGGGAAACUUGAGCUAAUACCGGAUACGCCCUAACGGGGAAAGAUUUAUCGCCGAAGGAACGGCCCGCGUCGGAUUAGCUAGUUGGUGAGGUAAUGGCUCACCAAGGCGACGAUCCUUAGCUGGUCUGAGAGGAUGAUCAGCCACACUGGGACUGAGACACGGCCCAGACUCCUACGGGAGGCAGCAGUGGGGAAUAUUGGACAAUGGGCGAAAGCCUGAUCCAGCAAUGCCGCGUGAGUGAUGAAGGCCUUAGGGUUGUAAAGCUCUUUUACCAGGGAUGAUAAUGACAGUACCUGGAGAAU
RNAcentral lists this ribosomal RNA (416 nucleotides) under uncultured bacterium. RNAcentral describes it as "bacterial SSU rRNA". It matches the Rfam family "Bacterial small subunit ribosomal RNA", at positions 26 to 487 of the family's 1533-position model. The record is from RNAcentral.